CCAGCCGCUCUGGGAUUUGCCAAAGUUGGGUUUCGCAGCAGCAAUUUCGAUCAGAGCGCUAAUCAGGAGGCUUUCCAUUUCCCAGCGGCUCUCCUGCUGGAUGGCCUUUUGUACUCCUGCAUAUCCAUCUCCGCCAGGAAAAAGAAGAGGGAGAAGGAAAAACACGCAGAUAAAUACAACUUUAUACAACAACCAGGUCAGUCUCCGUUGGAGGAGAAGAAGGAGAAAGCGAGAAACACCAAUGCCACGAGAAGCAGCUAUUUAGGUGACCUGUGCAAAGGAAAAGGUGCUAAUUGCGUCUACUCGGAGGACUAUCUUGCGUUUCAUACCUACAUGCCCCUGCGUGGGUUAAUUACAAAAAAAGAAGGAUCCUGUUGUCGUCUUUUGAAGAAAUAAAUAAUCCCAAAACAGAAAC
This is a long non-coding RNA of Gasterosteus aculeatus aculeatus (three-spined stickleback), 415 nucleotides long. NCBI's taxonomy places the organism in Eukaryota, Metazoa, Chordata, Actinopteri, Perciformes, Gasterosteidae. The record is from Ensembl.